CGGCGAACUCCGGUCAGCUGACACAUCCCGGCCAAUCUCCAGCAGACCCUCCCUCCCAGACCCUCCUACUUCCUGGACAGCAUCCAUGGAGGGGUCUGGGAGGGAGGGUCUGCUGGAGAUUGGCCGGGAUGUGUCAGCUGACCGG
Molecule: non-coding RNA, 145 nt
Organism: Pelobates cultripes (western spadefoot toad)
Lineage: Eukaryota; Metazoa; Chordata; Amphibia; Anura; Pelobatidae
Source: the annotation of a GenBank genome assembly